RNAcentral lists this ribosomal RNA (869 nucleotides) under uncultured Curvibacter sp. RNAcentral's name for it is "bacterial SSU rRNA". It matches the Rfam family "Bacterial small subunit ribosomal RNA", at positions 8 to 878 of the family's 1533-position model. The record is from RNAcentral. Lineage: Bacteria; Pseudomonadati; Pseudomonadota; Betaproteobacteria; Burkholderiales; Comamonadaceae.
AGAGUUUGAUCCUGGCUCAGAUUGAACGCUGGCGGAAUGCUUACACAUGCAAGUCGAACGGUAGAGGGGGCAACCCCUUGAGAGUGGCGAACGGGUGAGUAAUAUAUCGGAACGUGCCCAGUCGUGGGGGAUAACGUAGCGAAAGUUACGCUAAUACCGCAUACGAUCUAAGGAUGAAAGCGGGGGAUCGCAAGACCUCGCGCGAUUGGAGCGGCCGAUAUCAGAUUAGGUAGUUGGUGGGGUAAAGGCUCACCAAGCCAACGAUCUGUAGCUGGUCUGAGAGGACGACCAGCCACACUGGAACUGAGACACGGUCCAGACUCCUACGGGAGGCAGCAGUGGGGAAUUUUGGACAAUGGACGCAAGUCUGAUCCGGCCAUUCCGCGUGCAGGAUGAAGGCCCUCGGGUUGUAAACUGCUUUUGUACGGAACGAAAAGGUUUCCAUUAAUACUGGGGGCUCAUGACGGUACCGUAAGAAUAAGCACCGGCUAACUACGUGCCAGCAGCCGCGGUAAUACGUAGGGUGCAAGCGUUAAUCGGAAUUACUGGGCGUAAAGCGUGCGCAGGCGGUUAUGUAAGACAGAGGUGAAAUCCCCGGGCUCAACCUGGGAACUGCCUUUGUGACUGCAUAGCUAGAGUACGGUAGAGGGGGAUGGAAUUCCGCGUGUAGCAGUGAAAUGCGUAGAUAUGCGGAGGAACACCGAUGGCGAAGGCAAUCCCCUGGACCUGUACUGACGCUCAUGCACGAAAGCGUGGGGAGCAAACAGGAUUAGAUACCCUGGUAGUCCACGCCCUAAACGAUGUCAACUGGUUGUUGGGUCUUCACUGACUCAGUAACGAAGCUAACGCGUGAAGUUGACCGCCUGGGG